Molecule: non-coding RNA, 71 nt
Organism: Parelaphostrongylus tenuis
Lineage: Eukaryota; Metazoa; Nematoda; Chromadorea; Rhabditida; Metastrongylidae
Source: the annotation of a GenBank genome assembly
GCAUCGGUGGUGUAGUAGUAGCACGCCUUCCCGGCAUGGGUGAGACCCGGGUUCAACUGCCGUCUGAUGCG